AGCGCGCCCCCCGACACGGCCACCCCCCCCGCACCUACUACGGGGCAGAGACGCUGUACGGGCAGCCGGGCAUGUCCGUGAUGGCAGCGCCCAUCAGCUUUGACCGCCCCUAUCUGGCAGCUCAGCAGGGAAUGAUGCGUCAGAAAUCCAUGGGAGCCUCUGACGAGAGAAACAAUUCUUGUUGCCCCCGGCCUUCAAGUUUGCCCGCAGCCUGUCGGUGCCGAGUGCUGACG
Leucoraja erinaceus (little skate) is the source of this 233-nucleotide long non-coding RNA. RefSeq lists it as uncharacterized. The record is from RefSeq and is a predicted model, not a curated record. Lineage: Eukaryota; Metazoa; Chordata; Chondrichthyes; Rajiformes; Rajidae. The transcript has 3 exons.